UAAUAUCUAAAAAAACCUACCUA
RNAcentral lists this small nuclear RNA (23 nucleotides) under Arabidopsis thaliana (thale cress). RNAcentral's name for it is "snRNA_08618". Lineage: Eukaryota; Viridiplantae; Streptophyta; Magnoliopsida; Brassicales; Brassicaceae. The record is from RNAcentral.